This 376-nucleotide ribosomal RNA is filed under the name Salmonella enterica subsp. enterica serovar Typhimurium. RNAcentral describes it as "partial 23S ribosomal RNA". It matches the Rfam family "Bacterial large subunit ribosomal RNA", at positions 1156 to 1446 of the family's 2925-position model. The record is from RNAcentral. Lineage: Bacteria; Pseudomonadati; Pseudomonadota; Gammaproteobacteria; Enterobacterales; Enterobacteriaceae.
GGCCUGCGCGGAAGAUGUAACGGGGCUAAACCAUGCACCGAAGCUGCGGCAGCGAACGUAUCACCCAAGACAACUUUACGGAGUUGACGAUUGACGGAGCGAAGCGACGUCAAAGCGUUCAUUAAAGUCGAGUUGGCUUAGGGAUACGUUCGUUGGGUAGGGGAGCGUUCUGUAAGCCUGUGAAGGUGUGUCGUGAGGCAUGCUGGAGGUAUCAGAAGUGCGAAUGCUGACAUAAGUAACGAUAAAGCGGGUGAAAAGCCCGCUAGCCGGAAGACCAAGGGUUCCUGUCCAACGUUAAUCGGGGCAGGGUGAGUCGACCCCUAAGGCGAGGCCGAAAGGCGUAGUCGAUGGGAAACGGGUUAAUAUUCCCGUACUU